RNAcentral lists this long non-coding RNA (28217 nucleotides) under Triticum aestivum (bread wheat). Its description in RNAcentral is "long non-coding RNA (TAES_LNC011136)". The stretch from base 25041 to 25166 matches the Rfam family "MIR1120/MIR1122 microRNA precursor family". Lineage: Eukaryota; Viridiplantae; Streptophyta; Magnoliopsida; Poales; Poaceae. The record is from RNAcentral.
GAAGAAAAUCUUGGGAAAUAGAAGCUAAUGAGGCCUUGCCCGGAUGGCCAAGGCGUUGGUGCAACAGAUCACCGGAAGUGGUGAAGAAGGCAGCGCCGCCAAUGGAGUGCUUGCCAUAAAACGGGUAGAGAGGACCGGGCCUACUGGACGUCAUGAUGUGUCUCCUGGUGGGAAAGUCCUUCAGAGAAAAACCGGAGGGGUUAAACUCAACAGAGACAUUGUUAUCGGAAGAAAGUUUACGAACAGAGAUAAGAUCCUUAACGAUAGAAGGGCAGACAACUACAUCGUGGAGAGAGAGAUUUGUGGGAGGGAGAGAGGUGGAGCCGAUGCCAGUAAUGGGGAGGCGAUCACCGUUGCUGACAAUUAUGUUUUGAAAAAGGACGGAACGAGGAGAGGGUACCUGCGUUACCCGUGACGUGUGUGGCGGCACUGGAGUCGAGGAUCCAAUCGGCGCUCUGUUGGGAAAGGUCGUGCUGGCUGUAGGCCUGAUGGAGCAGGGCUGCGUGAUCCCAGCCAGGAGCGUCGAGCGGGAGCGAUGAGGGACCCGGCUGCUGCGGGCCGGAGUACAUCAGGGGGUAGGCCUGCGAGUGAACACCCGGGCGCGGUCCGAGGACGCCAGCGGCAUUCGGAGGGAUCCAGCCGGCGCGGGGAGCCGGCAACGCCAUGCCGAAGGGAGCGAAGUAGCCGGUCCACGGCGACUGCUGCGAGGGGCUGCGACCACCAGAGUCCGAGCGACCGCGGCCACGACCACGAUCGCCACCACCGUUGUCGCGGGCGCCACCAGAGCCGCGGCCAAUGGGGGGAGCGCAGUCACCACGAUCAGAGCGGUCGCCAAGAUCACCGCGGCCGCCGCGGUCAGGGUUGGAGCUGGGACCGCCGGAGACGGUGAGGGCCGCGGAUCCGGCGUCGGACGCGCGGAGGUUGAUGUUGUACUCCACAAGCUCCAGCCGAGAGCGAGUGACGGCGAAGGGAGGCAGGGGAACCGUGUCGCCGAGGAUCGUGCGGAUGGUGUCGAAACGGGCGUCAAGGCCGUGCAGGAGCUGCAUCAUGAGAUCGUGGUCGUGGACGGUGUUGCCGGUGUCCACGAGACCGUCGGCGAGCGCCUUGAGGCGCUGGGCGUACACCGAGACGGUGAGGUCGCCCUGCUUUAGGUUGCGAAAUUGGCGAGUGAGAUGCAGGUAUUGGGCCCCCUGGUUGGCCUGGAAGUAGUCCCGGAUGCGAGUCCAGGCGGUGUAGGCGUCGCCGGCGCCACCCAUGAUGAGCUCGAGGAGGGGAUCGGCUAGUGUGAAGAGAAUCCAGAGGAGCAGGCGGUGGUCGAUGGCGAGCCAGGAAGGAUCGGGUGUGGCAGGGGGAGGGUGGAGGACGUGGUCCUGGACGCGGUGCUGAAGAAGGACAUAGUUGAAGAACUUGCGCCACUUGAUGUAGUUGUUGGAUCGAGUUUGAAGGUGAUGUGGUUGGAGAUGUGGUCUUGAUGAAAAUUGAGGAAGUAAGGAUCAGCGGGGGAACGACCAUGGUCGAGAGAGCGGAAGUGGCAGCGGGAGGGGAGGAACCAGGAGGAGGGGAGGACUUGGCGACGGCGUCGACGGCCGCGGCGGCGGCGGCGUCAGGAGCAGGGAGGUCGCCGAAGAUGUCCUCAAACGUCAUGGAGAACUGAUACCAAGUUGAAGAGUAGAGUGGCUCAAUAUGCUGCUAUUGUAUUGAUAUUCAGAGAUUGUUACAGAGUACAAGAGAGAGCCCAACGUCUCCCGUGAGAAGAGGCACGCAGCCCACAACAGGAGAGUGGUUAGCGAUCCUAAGAUCUAGGGGAGGUACAACAGCUUACAGAAUACAAAGGACUCUGUACAGAUACAUUGAUACAGCACUGAUACAUACAUGUUAACAAAGCCCGUGCCAAGCGCUCCGCUUGAGACAUGCCACAUGAUGCGCGCCGUUUGUUACUAGUAGUACUCUUUGUGGAGGAUCGAUUGUUAUUGCACUCUCUCCAUCUCAAGAUAGUUGGUGAUCACAAUCACGCUUGCAACAUGCCACAUGAUGCACGCUGUUUGUUACUAGUGCUCUUUGUGGUUUCUUUUAAUCAUGUGGCAGCAAAUUCGACGAGGUCACUCGGGCCAUCUCAUGAGCAUCCGAGGAGAUUAUUGCAUCACAUAGCAGUUCCAUUUUUGUUAAAAGAAAAUAUAGUCCCAAACAUAUUUUUUUUUGAGAAAUACAUGUAGUUUUAUUCAUACUCAUAACAAUACAGGUACACAUUUUUUAUAGAAAAAACACCUCUCCAUAUAUUAAUUCAAUAAAACGUUAUUACAACCAUGUAGCGCUGAAAACUAUUCCAAAGAAUAUUGUCUGAUCAACUAUCAAAACUAAAUUUAGCAAUUUCAUGCGCCACCGCAUUGGCCUUCCUAUUAAUUUUAGACAAUUUGAAGCUGUUCAAAAGCUUGAUGAUGACAAACGCUUCCUUGUUGAGGUCAACCAGUGGUGAUUUGUGAAAACUUUAUGUUGCAAGGGAAGAAACCACAAACGCUUUCUUUUGCAGGUAAACGCUUCCUUGUUGAGGUCAACCAGUGGUGAUUUGUGAAAACUUUAUGUUGCAAGGGAAGAAACCACAAACGCUUUCUUUUACAGGUACACCGGUUUGGAUCUAAGAUCCAAGAAAAUACAAAUUAACUCCUAUAACUAAGAAUUGCAACAAAAUCUUUUGGAAACACUUUCUUGGAGGUAUCAAACUGUGCUAGAAAAAAUAUUUCAAAGACUUUGCUAUAAAGGUUGCAAUUGGACUGGAGCAAUGAUGUUGUCGCUCUUGCACCCGCACGAACAUUACACAUAAGGGCUUUUGAAAGCGCCUUGAGUUACCAUGAUCGAUGAACGUACUUGGGCCGAGGAUUAUCCCCUAGAAGUGCAGUCCGUCGAAUCAUGAUAUCUACAACAUCGUGUCGAUGAAAGAUUUCAGAUCCACAAAGAAUCAAACCAACAAUUUUUUUGACACACCAACAAAAACUCAUCAAAUCUAAAUAAUCAGAUCGGUGAGGAGGACAAAAAGCUCUCUAACCUCAUGGCACCGCAAAAAUAACGUGAGUAAAUAUAUUCUCACAAAAUACCGUCCCAAACAUGGUCUCUCAAACCCUAUGGAAGUAGCCAAGAAUUGCAUGUGUUGGUAAUAUUUUAAUUAUCCAAGUCUUAAAAUGCAUUAGUAUGUAUUAACCCAGAGAAACCGUUCACUUCCUUGAAAAAUAGAAGAAAUAUAUUGUUGCCUAACUUCUACACGCCUAUGAUUUCAACUGUUGCCUAAUACAACGUUCCUUGCUGACACUGGAGUAGUUCUAUCCCUAUGUAUUUAUAAUAGUCUCUGUUUGCUUUGUAGGGAGUAAAUCUCAAAGUACCUUCUUGUGUGUCGAAGCUUGUCUCCGGGCCCCUGCCAGCAAUCAAAACUGACUCACCUGACCAGUUCCGCAGCAAGCUUCGACUCCCACACUUUGCGAAGCCAAGCCACUAUGAGCUACAUUUCCGCCCCAACCUCGUCUCUUACACCUUCUCCGGUGUGGUGGCAGUCAAUGUCACCGUCAUAACACCCACCCGUUUCCUCGUUCUCAAUGUUGUGGAACUCAUGGUUGACCCUGCUUCCAUAAAAUUUAAGGUAUACAAUGGUCCACCGACAUGUAAAGGAAAGACAAGCUCUCAAAAGAUGUUUCAUUCCCCACAUCACAUAAUAAAUCUUGUCUUGAUUAGUUAUGUAUGGCUAUUGCGGUGUUUAGUGCCGACCGAGGUGGUGUUUUUUAAGGAUGAUCAAAUUAUGGUGAUUGGUUUUCAGAAAGAGCUUCCAGUAAGUGAAGGUGUGCUCAGGAUGCACUUCAAUGGCACUCUCAAUGAUGAGACGAGGGGAUUUUUCAAGAGGUAUGAGUUCCUUAUUGUGUGUGUGUGUGUGUGUGUGUGUGNNNNNNNNNNNNNNNNNNNNNNNNNNNNNNNNNNNNNNNNNNNNNNNNNNNNNNNNNNNNNNNNNNNNNNNNNNNNNNNNNNNNNNNNNNNNNNNNNNNNNNNNNNNNNNNNNNNNNNNNNNNNNNNNNNNNNNNNNNNNNNNNNNNNNNNNNNNNNNNNNNNNNNNNNNNNNNNNNNNNNNNNNNNNNNNNNNNNNNNNNNNNNNNNNNNNNNNNNNNNNNNNNNNNNNNNNNNNNNNNNNNNNNNNNNNNNNNNNNNNNNNNNNNNNNNNNNNNNNNNNNNNNNNNNNNNNNNNNNNNNNNNNNNNNNNNNNNNNNNNNNNNNNNNNNNNNNNNNNNNNCUGUUCUGGGUAGAAUAACUACUUUACACACAAGGCAGAAAAAAUAGUAAGCCAUGUAGGAAAAAUAGCAAGACAUGCAAACAUGAAAAAAUAUCAGAACACAUAUCAACGUAUAGCUCAUGCUCAGAAAAUCCCAAUAGAUAAAAUUUUGCAUAUCAAUCAUAUGGAGCGAUAUACCAAAGGAGAGAGAACAACUGAACUACCGGUUUCUAUAUGUUCGAAACUUGGUAGGACGCCACAAUCACUAGCUAGCUUACAACAAGUCAUAUCAAUGUUGAAACUUCAAAAUACACUUACAUUAUGCGUGCACAACUAAUAUUACUGUUUUUCUUGUUUCAUGCUUUUGUUAUUUAUUUUGCUUUCGGUAGGUAUAAGGGGAAGAUAGCAAACAUGGCGGCGACAAACUUUCAACCCGUGGAUGCUCGGCGGUGCUUUCCUUGUUGGGAUGAGCUUGCUUUCAAGGUAAUUAUUAUAGCAUGAUUAAUAAGAUUUCUAGGUUAUCUAGAUGCUUGAUCUAUUUUUGUCCUUCCUUGAGCAUCAUUGUUCACUAAUUCAUAAGUUGACUAUUUUUUAGGGGUAAGCACUUUUACCUCCUCAUCAGAAAUAUUGACUUUCCCUUCAUAUGUGCACCAUGGCCUCAAUAAGGUCAGCUCUAUUUCCUAACAUGUUCUCUCAUGUCAUUUGAAUAUUUCAGGCUAAGUUCAAAAUAACAUUGGAAGUUCCAUCUGAGUUGGUAGCACUGUCCAACAUGCAUGUAUCUAGUUAGAUAGUGGUUGGUCCUAUCAAGAUUGUCGAAUUUGAGGAAUCGCCUCUAAUGUCAACUUACUUAGUUGCCAUGGUUGUUGGUAUUUUUGACAUUGUAGAGCAUGUAACAUCACAUGGUAUCAACUCCAUUUUUCUUGUUACAUUGACAUCAACCAUUUAAAUGUCAUUACCACUUUCCAUUAUUCUAUUUCCGGGCACUAGAGUUCGUAUGUACACUGAAGUUGGUAAGAGUGAAUAAGGGAAAUUUGCAUUGGAUGUUGGAGUGAAGUCAUUGGAUUUCUAUAAUGAGUAAGAUCAAAACCAACCUUUGUCAUUAAUUAAAAUGGUUUCAAGAGAAGAACAUGAACGAUUAUAAUGAAGUCUCUCAAGAUAUGGAUGUUAUAGAUAGAAUAACUAACCAAGUGUUUAUUUCGUCAAUGUUGUAUUUACUUUGGCACUCCUUAUGCACUCUCUAAAUUGGAUAUGAUUGGUAUUAGCAACUUUAGUUGGAUGGGCAUGGAGAACUAUGGAUUGGUUACUUUCGAAAUCCAAGAUUUGCUAUUUAAUGAGACAUCUUCAACAUCUACCAAACAACACGAAGGAUGGACCAUAAGUCAUAAAGUUAUUUUGUUGCAUUAUUACAUCAUUUACUAUUCACAACUUAAACAACUUAUGUGUUCUUACCUAACCAAUUUAGAAGUGAAUUACAUUAUGUAAAUUGAUAGUGGCUAUAUUUAACUAUUAUACCUUUGUUUGGGAUUACUGGAGUUUUGUGAAGGCAAGCUUUGUUUAUUGAUCUAAACACUAUUAUGUCUAGAUUGCCGUUACCGUGGCACAUGAAUUGGCUCAUCAGUGGUGUGGCAAUCUUGUAACCAUGGAGUGGUGGAAUCACUUAUGGCUAAGUGAGGGACUUGCUACAUGGGUAAUUUGAUGACUCGACAUUUCAUGAUAUGACCAAGCUACUUGCAUAUAUUGAAUACACUCAUUGUUUUAACAGAUGGCCUAUCAAGCUGUAGAUUCUAUUUUUCCUAAAUGGAAUAUUUUGAUGGAGUUUCUUGAUAGUACAAUUUCUACUCUUAAAUUGGAUUCAAUAACUGGGUCACACUCUAUCGAGGUAAUGACAAUGGUUGAUACUGUAGCAUGGCAUGAUCAUGUGGUUGGAAUUGUUAUGCAUUUGAAAUGAUGUGCAUUAAUAUUUAUACGGACACACUCUAUACCUAGACUCUAUUUUCUAUUGAAACAUAAGAAUAGGUGGACCUUUCAGUUGAUAAUGACACAUACUCUAUUUUCUAUUUUCUGCUGAGAUUUAUUUUUUAUCAUAGUAGAUGAUGAUAAUUUAUAUAUGUUAAUCUGAAAUCCUAGGACAUCAUUGGUUAAUUCGUUGUUGACUCUUGAAAGGUCCAUGGAAUAUGACAAUUUUUCAAAAACUACUGACAUAGCAGACAAAAAUUGUAUUAGGAAAAUACAUAGUAGAUUUAUUAUUUUAAACAACUAGAAAUUGUGCAAAAAGAAUUAUUUCAAAAACUUUGUAUGAAUGUUGCCUUCGCUAACUGGGAUGCAUCUAUCAAUAUUAGCUUGCCAUGGAUACAUCCAACCUAAAGACAAUGUGGCAAAACAUGACAUGUAGCCAUCUUUGAAACUAAUGAUGUUCCAAAGUUGUUCUUUGGGUUAUUAUUCUUCCAAAAGCAACAGGUUAUUCUUGUUUGGGUCAUACCCGUCACUAAUAUGGCAUCAUGCCCAGGCAAUUAUUGGUCCAAGUAGCAUAGAUGACUAUUUGGGCUAUUCUUCAUCCAACCAUCAUUCAAACUAAUGUUGUUCAAAAGUUGGAGUGUGAGAAAGGGUCCAAGGCAAUGGUGGUUGAGGCCCCAUGCUUCACACCACGACCAACCUCACUCAACAUUGCAUGCCAUGGGAACAAUAUCUUACACUUGGCACCAUUGCUUUUGUGUUCUAUCUCUCUUCCCAUGUCCAAUUUACUAAAAAGUAAUAAUCAUAAAUGUUUUACUAGUAUUUUAAGAUGUAAUUUGUUGUCCGUUAAAAAAGACCACUAUAGAUUUCUUAACAAGAAAGACUAAUGUGCGGUCAUCUUCUUGAGUUCUCUGGUGAAAGCAUUCACAAGAGGAACACUACACAAGGGUUCAAGCUCUUAUAGAGUUAAGGGGGUUGGAUGGAACAAAGUUUGUGGUAUUGUGGCACUAUGUGUUGGUAGCUGGGUUGGGGUUGUUCUGUAAUACCAACAGUUGGUCUAAUUAACAUGUUGUUUAUAUGUGGAGAACAAUCUAUCUUUGAUGUAUUAACGGUAGGUGUGUAAACACCGAUAUUUGGUAUUUUGAUGUAUUAACGGUAGGUGUGUAAACACCGGUAUUUGGUAUAUUGAUGUAUUAACGGUAGGUGUGUAAACACCGGUAUUUGGUAUAUUGAUGGAUGCUUAUAAAACACUAAAAGUAACGUAUGUUCUUACAGAAGACCUUCUCAAAUACCUGUAACAAAGUAGGAUUUUGCAAGAUGUUUCAAACAUGUGCAGUCCAGGAUGUCAUUAUUCGUACAAAUGCAGGACAUAAGUUAGUCAGGGCUAGCAUACCCUAAGAGAAGUAUCCAAUAAAUCACAAGUGGGUGGGGUUUAAUUUUUUCACUCAGUAUGUAGUCUCUCAAAGUUCCGUUUGUAGUUAUAUGAUAUUUCUCCUUUAUUUGUCUAGUUCUACGAAAUUAACUACAGAAUAUUGAAAUUGAUACUAAUUACUUUUAUUCUCAUACAUUAUGUUAUACAUCAAAUUUGGUAAUUUCAUCAACAUAGAUUCAGUUGGUUCAUUUAAGAUUUUUUUACUUUUCUAAAUAUUGGCUUUUAAUCUUCUACAUGCCCAGGAUCAAAUACACCAUACCAGUGAAAUCUUUGAUAUAUUUGAUGACAUCAACUAUAUUAAAGAUUAGCCUUUGAAUCGUGUUUAUUUUCUCAACAGAAAAUCGCGUCCAAUCCAAAACAGCUAUUCAUGCUGGACACCCUGCCAUGGACUCUUCGAGGGCUGACCUUGGAGCAUCACCGGCUCACUGCCGGUCGCCGUCCUCGCCGCCGGUCGCCGUCCUCGUCGCCGUCCUCGCCGCCGCCCGCCCCGCUGCACCGGCCGAUCCCCCCUUCCCCUGUGUCUACCCUCCCAUGAAGACGACGCCGCUCCUCGCUCGCAACCCCGCCGUUGAAGCUGCAUCUCGUGGUCGUUUUGUGGCCCUCGUCGCCAUUGGUUGCAACAUGGCGUUGCUCCAUGGUCGCACCCCACCGUCGUUUGGUUGCAGCCUCGCCGUCAACCCGUCGCAGCCUCGCCGUCAUAGCCAUUGCUGGCUCUAGGUUGAAGCUUUUUCCAUGGUCGGUUGAAGCUUUUUUCUUAGCUGCUUCCAGCUUUUUCAUGGGGUUGAAGCUUUUCCGUCAUGCCUGUUGAAGCUUUUUUUUUCCCAUUGGUUGUAACUUCUACUAGGCCGGUUGAAGCUUUUUCCCAUGUCCGUUUUCAUAUUCGGCUGUACCAGUACCUCACCCUGAUUACUCAACGUAGCAAAAAAGUCUGCUGGUUGUAGCAAAUAGGUGUGGCGGUUCCAGCAAAAAAGAAGCUCGCCAGUGUCGUCCAACUGAUUAUAGCGUUGAUGGCUAAUUUCUAUGGUUCCAGCAAAACUUGAUGCCGGAUGUAGCAAUUUGUGUCACUGGAUGCAGCUCCGGCGACCUGUUCCCCGCACAUAAUCUCAUCGACUUGUAUCAUUUUUUGCCGCCGGUUCCUCGGGCGGCGGUAGGGCUAGAGUCCGCCGGCGUCGUGACGGGGUUGGAUCUGGAGAUGGGUUCUCUCGUUGUGGGACUAGGCCUCGGGUGUAGGCCGUUCUGCUAGGCGGCGGCCGAUGUGUAGAUGCCUAGAUGGACAGAUCUCUCUUCUCUGUAGUGUAGUCCGAAUGUGUAGUUCUGUACUUCUGUAGUCAUGUGCAGUUUUGUUCAUGCUGAUUUUAGUUACUACUCCUUGACUCACACUAUACUACAGAUGGGAUUAUGAACACUAUACUGCAGUUUUGUUCUUGCUGUUAGUGUAGAAGAGUUUUGUACUUCAUACUGUUUCUUACUGACUGAGUGCUGAAUUACUUAUGUUUCUUGUUGUGUUCAUUGUCUGAUUGUAGGCCUCGGCGUGUCAAGCACAGCAUCAACAGCCCAUGGACAAGCUGCCAUUGCGAAUGCGAAAUCAAAAGACCCAGGAUGGAAAUAUUGCAUUUGCCCGGAUGAAAACAAGAAGAAUUCACUUAGGUGCAUCUAUUGUAAUAAUCUGUACACCAAUGGUAUUACUCGGAUCAAGUUCCACCUUGGAAACAUUCCGAAUUCUGGUGUUCUACCUUGCACAAAAGUGCCUGCUGAUGUAAGGGAUAAAAUUGUUGAGUAGACAUUGCUGUCAAGUUCUUUGAGCCAUUGGCUAAUUUGCUCAGGAAGAUGGACAGCGAUGUACCGGCUAUGGGAUUCAUAUACGGCGCCUUUUUGGAUGCCAAGCAAGAGAUCAAAACUAAAUUUGAAAAUGAACAAGGAUCUUGUUUUCAGGAAGUGUUGGAUAUUGUGGAUAAAAGAUGGGACAGCAAGUUGAAGGGGCCACUACAUAGGGCCGGAUACUUCUUAAAUCCAUACUACUACUAUGAAAACAAGAAGCAAAUUGAGUUAGAUGGAUCAUUUGAAGCUGGGCUUGUAACUUGCAUGGAAAAAAUGGUUGAAGAUGUUGUCCUUCAAGACAAAAUCAAUGAUGAGCUUGUGGCAUAUCGAAAGGAACAGGGGACAUUUGGAAGAGAAAUUGCCAAAAGGCAGCGGAGAAACAAAAGCUUUGAUCCAGGUGCAUAUUCACAUUUUUAUCAAUUCUCAAAUCUGAUCUUACAAUGGUUUAUUAACUAUGGUUUUAUACUUUUGAAUGAAGCUCAAUGGUGGUCCAGUCAUGGGUCAGAUUCACCAAAUCUCAGAGUAUUGGCGAUGCGGAUUUUGAGUUUGACAUGCAGCUCCUCCGCUUGUGAGAGGAAUUUUAGUGUUUUUCAGCAGGUAAGAAAGAAGUACAAUUUAUCCUGUUCUCAACUUCUCAUAUUAGUGCCCUUGAAAAAUAUUUGCCUAUGUUAUGCUAGCAAACUUGAUUUGUUCUCAACUUCAUAGAAGUGUCCUGUUGUCCGUGUUGUAAAUGUACGCAAUCCUGGUGUUCGUGUUGCUUGAUAUGAAUUGAUGGCUGGUUUGUGCUGUACAGUGUAUAACUUUCCUUGAUGUAGAAUAUAUUUCCUUGCUUCCUUACUGUGAUAACAUAUUUGUUUCCUUGCAAACUUGCCAUGUUGCUUACUUGGUUGCUGUUACCUAUAGAUUCACACAAAGAAACACAACAGGCUGCUUUAUAAUAAAAUGAGAGACCUUGUUUUUAUCAAGUUCAACUCCAAACUCAAACAAAAGAGAAAGAUGAAAAACAGGGACCCGAUUGUGGACCACACAUUUGUAGAUGUUGUAGAAGAUGAAGAUAAUGAGUGGAUCACAUGUAUUGUGCCUCAUGAACCUGAUGAAGUUGUAGAAGUUGCAGCAUCAACAUCACAAGGAGCAGUUGGUGCAUCAAAAAGAAAGAGAGCGUCCCAAUCUCGCCCUCGGAAGAAGAAAAAACUGCUCCCUGUUUUUCGUGAAGAUGAGUUGGAGUCAGCUAGUUCUUCUUCUGAAUCGGAAGAUGAUGCCAUGCAUUCACCAUCUGGUUCAUCAAAUGAGAGUGAUUCUGAAUAAUUUCCAAGUUGUCGUUGUAUUGUAUUGUUUACUUGUUGGCUUGUUGCCUUGUUGGCUAGUUCAUCUUUAAACUGAUAUGUUGUACUAUUGUCGUCCUAUGGCAGUUGUUGUUGCCCUUCUAGUUUUUUGGACAAGUAAUUUCGCAUAUGUCGCUAUGGACUGUUGUAUUGUUAUGUUCUCCAUCUAGUUCAUCAUAAAACUACUAUGUUGUAUUGUUAUUGUUGUUCAUCUUAAUUAGUUAUGCAUGUAUGGCUCCUGAAAAAAAAUAUUAGAUGUUGAAAUCCUUAUUUUUUGGGAUAUAUUUGGCUUUUUUUUUAAAACGCUAUUUUGAAUAUAGCACGCUAUAGCAUGCUAUAACUUGUAUAGCAUUUGGAGAAGGGCCACGCUAUUUUAAAUAGCACGCUAUUCAAAACAUUGGCUGCUUCCAGCUUUUUCAUGGGGUUGAAGCUUUUCCGUCAUGCCUGUUGAAGCUUUUUUUUUCCCAUUGGUUGUAACUUCUACUAGGCCGGUUGAAGCUUUUUCCCAUGUCCGUUUUCAUAUUCGGCUGUACCAGUACCUCACCCUGAUUACUCAACGUAGCAAAAAAGUCUGCUGGUUGUAGCAAAUAGGUGUGGCGGUUCCAGCAAAAAAGAAGCUCGCCAGUGUCGUCCAACUGAUUAUAGCGUUGAUGGCUAAUUUCUAUGGUUCCAGCAAAACUUGAUGCCGGAUGUAGCAAUUUGUGUCACUGGAUGCAGCUCCGGCGACCUGUUCCCCGCACAUAAUCUCAUCGACUUGUAUCAUUUUUUGCCGCCGGUUCCAGCACACCAGAUAGCCGGUUCCAGCACGGGCGCACAGUGGUUGUAGCACCGCGAUAUCGAGGUCGUAGCAGUGCACGACGCCAGUCACAACACCGCUCGCCAUGGUUGUAGCACACUCCACGACGGCGACGAGGCCCUGGUUGUAGCAAUAUCGAGGGGCUCGCCGGCCAAGACAGAGAGGAAAUUGCUGGUGAGCGUGGCCAUGAAAUCGACGACCAACGACGUGUCCUUGUAGCAGCCUCAUGUGGUUUUAUUGCAGGGGGAGGAAGGGGGUAGAAGCAGCUCGCAGGAGAAGGCUCAUGGUGGUGCGAGGUAGAAGAAAGAGAAGAGACAGCAACGUUUCUGAAGAUAUGAUUUUUGUGGCCACAAAACGGUUGGUGCGAAAAAGAUAAAAGUCAGCGCGUGGGCUAGGGCACGUGGCUAUGUGGGAUAGGUGCGCGAGCGAGCAGAGCCAGGGCGACCGGCGCAAGCUUCAGCCGGUCGUCCGGCCACAAUCGUUUCCUUAUUAUUAAAGAGAAUUAUUAUUCCUUUGCUGAAGAUCAAGGUCAAUUACUUUUUUUCUGAAGUUGUUGUUGUGCCGAAUCACAAUGACCAGUAGUCUAAAGUCCAUACUUGGACUCAAAAAAGAGUCCACAUUAUGUACGUAAUGCCCAAUCCGUCUAUUCCUUUAGCGACCUUUCCAAGCAGAACUUUUUCCCCAACAAAUCUACUCGUACACGACAUGAGCGGCCAGGGCAGCGACGAGGUGACUUCGCCGCUGGAAGACGAUGAUCUUCUCUCGGAGAUCCUCCUCCGCCUCCCCACGUUACCCUCCUCGCUCCCGCGCGCCUCGCUCGUCUGCAAGCGCUGGCAGCGCCUCGCCACCGACGCCAUCUUCCUCCGCCUCUUCCGCGGCCGCCACCUCAAGCCCCCCAUGCUUGGCGCAUUCAGUAAGGCCUCCGUCGCCGGAGAAAUCGUAUUCACCCCGCUUCUCGACCCUCCCGACCGCAUCCCCACCGAGCGCUUCUCCCUGCGAGUUUGCGGCGAGGACGCCCCUGAUGUGUGCCACGUGUUCGGGAGCCACCAUGGACACGUCCUCGUCAUCAACUGGAGGACACUGGAGCUCGCGGUGUUUGACCCCGUCUCCGGCGACCGCCGCACCAUAGUCAUCCCGCCGGAAUGCGGCGAUAGUGGGCUCAUCAUCGACAACGGGACGGUGCUCUGCCUCUGCGCUGCCCGAAACUACCAGGGCCACGUGCACGGAGACUGCCACUCGAGGCCCCUUAAGGUGGUAUUGGUAGGCAGGGACAAGACAGUCCAUCCUCAAGCCGCCUUCGCCAGGGUUUACUCCUCAGAGACUGGCAUGUGGGGAGAUAUCAUCUCGUCGGCCGAACCAUGUACUGGUGCUCUUAGCCGGCACCCGUGCACCUUUAUCGGAAGUGCUCUUUACUGGCGCCUAAUUGGAGGUGGGGAUGGCAUACUUGAGUUCGACCUGGAUAACCAGAGCCUGACUGUCAUCGAUUGGCCUACCGAUGACCCUGUGCUUACCAACAGCUGCACCAUCCGGGGAGAGGACGGCGGUGUUGGCGUCGCCCUCCUUUUGUACCCAAACCUCGAAAUGUGGGAUCGCAAGGUAAAUCAUCGUGGUGUUGCCACAUGGGUGCUGCGGAAGACCACUGACAUGACUGGGAUGCUGGGUCCGGAGUCUGCGAAUGCAUAUAUAGUGGGGUACGACGAGGAUGCCGAUGCAGUUUUUAUGUUGAUACUGAUAGAUGGAGAUCCAUGCAGUCCUUUCUUGAUCAUCGUUCAGCUUGAGUCGAUGAAGGUCAAGGAAUAUUAUGGAAGCUCUAUUGCGGAGAACUACUAUUAUUCGUUCAGAAGCUUCCAUACUGCCGGUAAUUGCUUCAAUCACUAUACAUUACACAUGGUUGCUUCUUGCUUGAAUACCUCUACUGUGCUUCGAAGUGUUUAUUACUAAGUUCGUUGUCCUGUUGGCUUGGUCCACGAAACUAAUAGAUGUGUUAGUUUUUACGUUCCAGAUAACUAAUUUGACUAAUUUUGCUGCAGAAUUUAGAGAGUGGUUUUUCUACACCCCAGCUCGGUGCACCCACGCAAGAAAACAUAGCAAAAUAUUUCAAAAAAUUCAAAAAACUUUCUAGGAAUGAUCAUCAACAAAUGUUAUCGGCACUUGCAAAGUUUGGUGAUCAAAUAACAUUUGAUGAGCUCUGUACAAAAAAGACAAAAUCACUGAACAUUAGUCAAAAUGUAAGCAAAUUGUUUGAGCAGAUUUUGUAAUUUUGUCUUUUUUGUACAGAGCUUCUCGAAUGUUAUUUGAUCACCAAACUUUGCAAGUGACGAUAACAUUUGUUGAUGAUCAUUCUCACAAAGUUUCAGAAUUUUUUGAAAUGUUUUGUUAUGCUUUCUUGCGUGGGUGCACCGAGCUGGGGUGCAGCCACUAAUUUCCCCUGAAUUUAACAUACAUUGUAUAUAAUACCUCUGAGUAUGUAAAUUUAGUGAAGAUAAAAUGUAGCCAAAGGCACCUUCGUGGUAAAUAUUACACCUUAAAUCUAAACAUACCCUGAUGUAAAAGGGACCCGUUACUUAUGUUUACACACCUUUUCUUGUACCAAAAGAUUUACAAUCGACAACAUAACAUGAACCUGUCUUUUGAGGCUUUAUUAGGAGUAAUGAAUAAUACACUUCAUAUGGUUAAGUUGUUGAAGGCUGUAAAGAGUAACAUGAUACGUCAAACCUUAGCUUUGUUUCAGGGUUGUGCUGCUGAUAAUGCUUUGCUCCUUAUUCAUCGUGUUCGUCCCAAAGUGGGUUGCCAAAGCAUAGGAAUUUACAAGUCAGGCUGAUAUUCAGUUGUAAAGUUAGCGAGAUUCCUAUCUAAGUUUUACUCCUCUCUUUGUGGUUUUAUAUACUUUGUGUUGGAUAUGGCCAUCAGGCCUGACCGUUUCUUAGUGCGAAGCAGGAAACUGAUCAUAUGUUCGUCAGGUGAUGUGCAAUUGCCAUUGUGUCAAUAGGAGUUAUAACCUAUAUAUAUGCCCCUGAGUUGAGAUUUCAAUUUGCAUUCCGUCAUCUUUACAUUAUUUACGCAAAGUUUGAUGCAUGAAAAAGACCAAAUUACCUCUACUUUCUGUCCCUUUUUGCUCCUCUCCCCUUCUCCCUUUUGCUUUGCGAGAAGCUGGCAACGUAGGCUAGCAAAUUGUCCACGUGAAUGAGUCUGAUAAUUCAGGCACACAACUGUUCAUAAAUAAAAUUAACUAACUGCGUGUCCUUCUGCAACGCAGGCACACCCCAUUCUGAUGUCGUCCAGGGAGCGAGGGACGCUGCGCCGAUGCCUCAACUACAAAAGGCUGGCGCUGGUGGCGUGCAAAGACCCGUCCUCACAGGGGACGCCCAAGCCACAAACUCCUUGUUGGUUGUCAACGACAAUGUGGAGGCGGGUCGUGGUGAGGCGAGGAGACGGAGGCGCUGGGGCUGGGGCUGGACCUGCCACUACAGAAAAACCGCACGCUGCCAAGUAUUAACGUGUAAGCCGAAUGUUAAAACACGGGUUCUCAGCUUGCAUCAACCUAAGCCGAGUACAGACUGGAGAAAACACGGCAAAAAAUAGGUACCCGGCUUCCAUACAAGUAAGCCGGCUGUGUGUAGAAAAAGCUCUUGGCGUACGACCGGUACUGGGCAUACGGGUGGAAAGGCACUCGGCUUACAGCCAACAAUCAAAGCAAGCAUGCUCUGACACUAUAUGGCCACUCAUACAUCUCUUCGAACCUCUAAUUUCUUAUGAACUACUUACCACUUCUUGUAACUUGAUCGAUACUGCCUGCUGCCUGGUUGGCUCUCAUAUCAAGGAGGCAGCCUAGGGUUACUGCCAAGGAGAACCUUGACAUUUUGUCGAUUGUCCCUAUGUUCCACUAGUCUCAUGUAAUAUGUUGUGACUGAUCAUACAUCAAUCUUGCAGCUCCGGUGCCUAUAAGUUUUCCAGUUCGUACCGGAUGUCGUGCGUCUUAGCAGAUAGUCUCAAAUCUUGUGACAUUCGUAUGAAGUUGAAUCCUGGCUGUUGCAGUCAAAAUCAUUGACAGGUGGAUGGAAUUCACAACGCUACAUGUUCUGCACUUGGUUUAAAUUUAGUCUGAAUGAUGUGUAAAAUUUGAUGUGAAAGCUGUCAUCCACCUAAUGUAUGUGUCCAAAAUACGGAGUACAACUCAAGUCCUUUUUAGCAUUCAAGUUGAGCAUACAAAUCAUUUGCACGCUAGUUGACGGUCACCCACUGGCGGAACCCCUAGUAGUUCUUUUUCAGACAGCCUUACCACUACCGGUGUUCGAAUCACACUUUUGUGAGACCGAGGAAAUGUGCACAGGGGCACAAUGCUUAAUUGCUUGGAAACAUGUUUGCAAACAGCAAACUAGAAAACACAUGGUGGUUCAGGCAUUGAAAACUUGCUCAUACAAAACAACUGGAUGCUUAAGGGGAAAGUACACUCCAUGCUUCCAAAUUUUUGCAAUGCCCUGAUGUUCCUUUGGUCCGUUUGUUCCACCUCAUCUGCUCCAUCGACAAAACAAAUCCCUUUUUUUAACCACUGCUAUGUUUUGAAAAUAGUGAAUAAACACCUGGCCUCUCUUCAAAACAUAUCUUUUGUGCUUACAAACAACAGCCUCUCUUAACUUCUUAUGGCUCGAUACCGGGCUCACUACCCAACCACUUGUUUCGGCUUUUCUAAACCUCUUCUCAAACUCGAUAAAAAAACAUCCUUGCAGCACACAUCUUACAAAAUGGGUUGCCAUCUAAACUUAGGAACCAUUUAACCUCGGUAGAGUUUAUAGAAUCGGAUGAUGCUCUUUUUAUUUUGCAGGAUUUUAGUGUCAAUAACUCUUAAGGAUGAACACUACCUCAUGCACGACUACACCAUCGAUCGUGGUGCUGCCUCCAUGUCACAUGGCGUGGCUAAGUACCCACGUUCUUCAUCUUCGACGUCACCGAGCAGGAAUAUGCUGUUGCAGUGCAGAAGGAUUGCCAUUAUUCAACAUUCGGUAUCCAAGUAGUCGAAGCGGGUGACGUUCAAAGAUGAUGUGGCAUGCAAGAAGUUUACUUGAAACAAUUUCAUUCAGAAACCACUUGUAAGUACAAAACUGUAGGGAAAAAAGUACAAAACUUUAAGCAAAAGAAUUCUUACAUCUUCUUUCUUCUAUACAAUUUAAGACUUCUCCGUGUUGUUUCAUUACCAUGGAUAAGCCAUGUUGUAUCAUAACAAAUACAAAAUAAAUUUAGUCAGAGGUUGUCAUAAUGAUGAAUCAACCACUCUUGUGUGCAAAGAACAUGAACAAGUAAAACAUGCUACUAAUUCCCAUGGUAUUUUAGCUAAGCUACUGUUUGUUGCUUGAAAGCUCGUCCAUCAAACACAUCGUGUAUGGGAAAGACAAGCAUAUGCAGUCAGCGGAUAAGCAGCCAUGGUCUUCGAUCUGGGAGCUAUUGAAAUGAUAGGAUAUCACUCUUUUGGAGGUUGUGUGGAAGAAGAAGACAAUCUCUUUGUUCGGAUGAAAUCCAAGUAUAGUAUGUUUGAUACAUGGUUGUUCUAAGUGACUAUCGCUAUGUUCCCAAGAGAAAUCUGCUAGGAGAGGACGAAUGUUCAUGUCGCACUGCAACAUCCAGUUUCUCUGAUCGCCUGCUUCGUCAAGAUGCCAGAUUCGAAGUCUAAGGCCAUCAUGGCCAUCAAGUUGUGCACAGUAUACACCGUUCUCUGAUUUCCCUAAAUUAUGGCCCUGGUAAUCUUUCCAACAAAAACCUUUGGGUGGCUCAAUUACUUGGUAUUUAUCAUUUGUAAUCCCUAUUCUGCAAAAGAUAAGCCAUUGUCAAGGUUAGCUUAAAGGCUCUCUACAUCAAAAUGUGACCAGGGUUGUGUUUAAUUAAGAUGUGAGUAGCCAUCCAUGCAUGUACCUUAGGAUGAAAUCAUGUUGGUGAAAGUAAAGUGCCCCCCGCCAGUAUGCUGCAUAGCGGCGAUCGGGUGAGAAAUCAUCCAACAAGGUAGCCGAUGGUCCUUGCGGCCUCCCCGUCGCGAGCAAAAGGCCUCUCUUCCCACCGAUCUGUCCUCGAUGAGAAGACGAGCAAGACAAAUGUCGAUGGCGGCCAUUCUCUUUCUCGUAUUUGAGGGGGCUCGUAUGGCCAUGAAUCGGAGGGAACGGACUUAACUAAAAAGACCUCGUAGUGCGGCGACACGACGGGGUCGAACACGAGGUACUGGUCAUCGUAAUAUUCUUCAGCAUGGUCGCUGUCCUCCAAACCCGGCGUGCACAUGGCCGGAGGGGGAGGCAGGUGCGCCCACUUGUGUGUGGCGGGGUUAAGCACCCAUACCUCUUCAUCAUCCUUGUCGCUCAGCAGGAGGAGCCCAUUGCAGUGCUGCGUGAUCUUGAGGCACUCGUGGUCGCGUGUGUCCAAGUAGUCGAAGGGCGCGAUGUUCACGGACGACACGCCGAGUGACAAGAGCUUCGGGGCUGUGGUGCAGCCCUCGAGAUGGACGAAAAUGCCGGUCAGCGACUGCGGCAGGAGCUCCGCGAGCAGACGGUGGGCGUCAACGACGGCACACCACGCCUUGCAGACGCAGCAGGACGCCGCAAGGCUGCACGGCGACGUUGUCCGGAGGCGGCGCAGGACGUCGGCCAGCACGUCGUGAGGAAGCCGCUGCGUCAGGUCGUCCAUGGUUGCCUGGGGACUUGUGCUGCUUCGAUCCAGUAUAUAUAUGGUUCGAUGUUUAUGCUAGGGAGAUAGUUUGUGAUGGAAUCCGUCCGACUCGGUGGACAUUCCGAAUUCUGCUGGAGAUCGGACUUCAUACACCUAGCCGGUAAAAAUUGGGCCGUGGCCCAUGUGUCCACUGGCUGUGUUCAAUACUGACUCAGUUUUGCGUGUCCAUCCAGUGUGAAUAUAUAUAUAUCGCGAUUGAUCCAGAGCUGGCCUCCGAUCAAUUUGUUGGAUCUCCGUCGAUGCAUGGCCGCCGCCGCAUCGCCGGACCGGCUCUCUGAUCCCUCCGACGGCCUCAUCCACAACCACCGCCCUCUCUCGCCAAUGGCACCGUCCGAUCUGGCAUGGGUCCACACCGCAGACGUCAACUUCGCCUACCGCUAUUUCACAAGGUUUUUUUUUUCUCGAUUGCGUCUCUUUUUUUCUGGUUUGAACUAGGAAAAUAAAAGAGUAUAUUCAAGAUUGAUAAUACAUUGAAGACGUAUCAAUGGUCUAUGAUGCCACAAGUGUAGCAGAAGUCCGGCAUAUGUUCGUACUCAAAUCGGCACCAAAGCAACUUCUUCUUUUUGUGGCUCAUCUCCCCAUCCUUGGGUCCUUCCUCAUUUCUGUCAAGUGUGAAUCCCCUCAUGAGUGGCUCGUUAAUAUCCAGCUUCACUUUAACCCGGAGGAAUUUACCCACGGCUCUGCCAUCAUGACCGACAUCCACAUCCAGAACCUCCUAAAAAUCUCUCCCUAUGAGCUCUCCCAUAGCCCUGUUCAUAGAUACCAGUGGUAUCCCGAACACACGAAUCCAUAUGGGGAUCAAGUUGAACUCGUACUCAUCGACGGUUUUAUCAGUAUCAUAGUUGUCCAUCAGCAGCAGCUUCUUAUCGAACCACCAGGGUCCGUCCUCCACGGCUCUCCUCCAACCCGUCGCCUGCAUGAACGUGAAAAGAAAAAUGUUCUCGUCCAAUUCCUUGCAGCCUAGCCCCUUGUUCCGGCACCAAAUUUUCCCCAGCGUGCUCCCCAUGGCCCAUGCAUGUGCUGGCUUCUUCGAAAAUAGCUUACGCAUACGAAACAUCUGGUGCCCACUCUGGAGCCUUGUCCCUUUCUUUCUCCCCGAUCUUUAAGCGCUUCUUCUCCACCGCUGACAACUUCAACCCCUUCAUCAACCCCUCUACUGCCUCCAUCCUCCUCGACCAAACCACCACUCUCCUCACGUCAGACCUAAAACUAGGGUUUGUAGGUGGUGUACGACCGAGCGCCCUAGAACCGCACAGAAGGCCUAUGUGGAUGGGAAAGGGUUAGGGAGGGAUUGGGGGGUGGACGAGAGAGCAGGGAAGGCUACGGAUCUCAGGUGGUCAGGACGGAGGCCCGAACGCCGUCGACAAGAUCUGGUGGCGGGCGACAGGGCCAGGAUAAGAUCCAAGCGUCCUUGCGACUGCCUCUUCGAAAAUUACACUAACCGUCACCAGAGUGACGGACGAGGUCUCGCCUUAUAAAGAUCUCUUCUUGGUAGAACCUCACAGAGGAGUUGUACUUUUUUUAGCAUAGCACAAGCCUUAUACUUUUUUUUAUCGUAAGCCACAAACACGAUCAGUGUUGGGCCGUAAUCCAAGGAUGGGUGACUGAGCUUUUCUCUAGAGGCCCAGCCCAAGUAUUCCUUCCUUCUUACGCAUCCUCCAGUAACCCUACAGCCCUACUCCGCUCCCCCAUUUCCGUUUCUUCUCCCCACAUGAGUCACGAGGGCGGCAGCGGCGGCGACGGCGAGAUGGCCCUCCUCCCCGGCCAUCCGCAGCCGGCGGCGCCGCUGGAAGACGAGGACGUCCUGGGCCAGAUCCUCGUCCGCCUGCCCCCGCUGCCCUCCUCGCUCGUCCGCGCCGCCGCCGUCUCCAGGCACUGGGGGCGCCUCGCCGCGGACCGCGCCUUCCUCCGCCGCUUCCGCACCCACCACCGGAGGCCCCCCGUCCUCGGCGUCUUCGAGAUGCGCGGCGGGGAGCUGGUGUUCACCCCGCUCCUCGACGCCCCCGACCGGAUCCCGCGCGAGCGCUUCUCCAUGCGGUUCUGGCACGUGCUCGGCUGCUGGACCCUGCUCGGGUACCGCCACGGCCGCGUCCUCCUCGUCAACCUGGAUCUGGCCCUGCUGCUUGUUUUCGCCCCUCUCGCCGGCGGCCGCCGCCGCCUCCGCGCCGCGGUAAUUCCGCCGGAUUUCGUCGACGGCGAGUGCGCCGUCGCCAACGGGGCGGUGCUCUGCGCUGCCGGUGACGAGCAGGGGCACGUGCACGGAGACUGCCACUCGGGCCCCUUCAAGGUGGUUCUGGUGGCCACCGGAGUGAGACACCCGGUCAUAGCCCGGGUCUACUCCUCAGACACCGGUGAGUGGGGAGAUCUCGUCGUAAUGGCGGAACCAUGUGUUGUUAGCAAGUUCCCCUCCACCCUCAUCGGCAAUGCUCUUUACUGGUGGCUAAACAAGUGUCAGCAAGAGGAUGGCAUACUCAAGUUCGAUUUGGAUAGCCAGACACUAUCUCUGGUCAAGAGGCCUAUUUUUGAUGGCAUUCCCAGUUGCAGAAUCCGGAUCAUCAGGGGAGAGCAUGGCGGUGUUGGCCUUGCCGUAUAUUCGUACAUGAGAUUCCAAAUCUGGGAACGCAUGGUCAAUAGUCAUGGUACUGCCAUAUGGGUGCUGCGAAAGACCGCUCGCAUGCAUAGUAUGCUUCAGUAUUCUAUGCUGACUAUAGUAGGGUACUCCGAGGAUGGCGAUGCGCUUCUUCUAACAGUGUCCUUCGGUGGUGUGCCCACCUACAGCUUCAUGCUUCAACUUGAGUCAAUGGAGUGGACGAAUCUUAAUCAAACAUUUUUGGAUUGUUCCUACCAUCCGUUCGCAUACUUCUAUACUGCAGGUAAUUGUUUAUCUUUACAUUACAAGAGUUGCCUGAACAUGCUUACUUUGCAUACAUGGUUGCCCAAUGCCUUUACUGUGCUUUGAACUGUUUGCUAGCAACUUAGAUCAAUAUAAUUGUUUUUUUUUGUGUUAUAACUUAACUGGAUUUAUCUGGAAGGUAGCAAACUAUUUUGACUUAUUUGUUCUAUUGUAUCAUUUUUUUGAAUGUUUUUACAUUACAUGCUCUAUAUAAAGUUAUUGUGUGAAACAACCUGUUGGUCGGGUACCUUCCAGAAAAUUGUUCAAUGGUUGAGGUGUCACCUCUCAUAUUCCCCUAAGUUGAGGUGUCCGUUGCUAUUCUAUCAUCUUGACAUUUUUUGUAUGUAGAUUUCCCAUCUGUUCUUAUCCUCUGUUGUUGUUCUCCCUUUUGCUCUGAAGCAAAGUAGGCAUGCAGAUUGCUCAGAACAAUCUGAUUAUUCUGUUGCAACAAUUGGUCACAAAAUCAAUAAAUUAACUAAAGAGUUGUUGACAAUUCGUAAUAAUCUGAUCAUUCUGUUGCAACAAUGGGUCUUAGAAUUUUAUGUAGAUGUCAAGAUGAUUCUUGUUUACGAAAAAAACCAAGGCUGUGAGGACGAUAUCUUGGCUACUUGCAGUACUUCAAUUUUUGAGAGAAUUGUUAGCAGCUUCCAAAGGUUCAAAUAGAUAACUCUUAAUUAUUAUGUUUGAUCAUACUUGGGAAUCUGGUGAUUUUGGAAUAGCCAGAAGCUGUGAUCUUAUUUGAAAAGAAUGUUGCGUUUUAUGAUCAUUUCAUAUGUCGGCGAUGUUAGGAUAGGUUUGAGCCUGAAUUGGGUAUUCAAUCACCGAGUUUGUUGAGCUAUUUUACCUAAUCUUGGCGGAGUGACUUCAAAGGUUUAAUCAUUAAUCCCUUUGGUAGUGAAGUACUGAAGUUAAUUUUUCCUGAUCCUUCUGAGUUAUGGCUCGCGCAAUCAUCACUAAUGAGGUUGGUUGCCACAGGUACUGUCAGAGCGUCAAGUACCGCUCCAGCCAUUGAGCCACCACAGCAGCGAAGUACAAUUCCAGCCAUUGUGCCACCACAACAGUGAAGUCCAGCCAUUCCACAGCUGCGGGGUAAAACCAUAAAUUGUCAGGCAUCUCGUCAACCUUCAGUUUCGUAUGAUCUGCAUAUUUUUUAUGACUUGGUUGAUGCAAUGAGAUGAAAGACUCGGACCAAGGGACACCCUGUGUUUUGCUGUGUGAGAGAGCGUUGUCACUUUGUCAGCUGUCUCUUUAUUUUACUUGUUCAACCCAGUCAACUGUUUUGCCCAUAUAACACCUUAUGUUUAGUAUCGUAAAUGAUGCUGCAGUAGUUGAUGCUGGCUGCCGCUUGUAGGAGAUAGAGCAUCAUUUCCUGUGCUAUCCGUAUCAUAAGAUGAAGUCGACUCCUGGGUGUUGGGGUCCUGAAUUGAAUUCUGAAGCCAUGUGUUGAUCUCUGCAUUUUUUUCAUCUUGUUUUACAACGUAGUUUCAAUAGUUGAGGGCUGAGGGUGCAACUUCUGAAUGGUUUGAGCUUGGGGGUAAAUUGAACCAAUGCAAUAGUCGAGGAGGCAAAAUUAGGCUUCUUAGGUCAAUAACUACUGUGCUGCCACAGUAAAAAAGAAGGAUGUUUACUCGGAAGUCUGAACAGGUCUAUCCUUUAUGAUAUUGAGCAUGCAAAUGCCAUCCCACCACAUGUAGUACAAUAUGAAUGUUUUUAAUAAAUGGUCCUAGACUACUCGGGCGGGGAGAGGUGGCGGUCAUGUGUCGUUCCAUCUGGUAGUUGUUUCUUUCCUUACUGUGCUGUCCGCUUGUUUUCAUCAAAGCUCAUAGACUUUGGUCAUUUAGUCGCUGCUUCUCUGCCAACGGGGCCUCCAUGCUCGUUGGUCCUGCUGGCAGCGGGCGGGUUUUGUUUGUGUCCUGUGCUCGACAUCUUUUUCACCAUGGCCCUCACCCCCAUUCUCCUUCUCAGAGAGGCUUUUCAUCCACUGUACCGGAUUAGUCACGAGGCACAGAAUUAGGUUUGGUAGGAAUGCCGCUUCAUGCACGCGGCCGGGUCGAGAAGACAGACACUAUUGCUGGGCCCAUUAUCCAAUAGGUCAUGUCCUCAUGUCCAACCAUCUCCUGAAACUGUUGCUGGGCCCAUUCUCCAAUGGAUCAUAUCCUUCUCAGAGAGGCUUUUCAUCCACUGUACCGGAUUAGUCACGUGGCACAGAAUUAGGUUUGGUAGGAAUGCCGCUUCAUGCACGUGGCUGGGUCGAGAAGACAGACACUAUCGCUGGGCCCAUUAUCCAAUAGGUCAUGUUCUCAUGUCCAACCAUCUCCUGAAAGUGUUGCUGGGCCCAUUAUCCAAUCGGUCAUAUCCUCAUGUCCAACCAUCUCCUUGUUUAGCUUAGCUUAUUUGCAUUUGCUUUUACGCACAACCAUAUCUUCUCUUGUUAAGCUUUCUAAUGCCUGCCACUGGGCCUUAGCUACUGCUGGGCCUGCACGGCAGCUUGGUGCUCCCUCCCACGGUAAGAACUAAUCAAGCGAGUGAUCAAAGCCUACAAAAACGGUGAAUAAUAAUGCUGCCCCUCUCCUUCCAACUUUGUGCCCCUCCUUUCCCUUCCCAUUGUAGCAUCCAGCGUUUUUUCUUUCGAGCAACUACGCCUGUAAUAGUGACAGUCAUGGUAGAUCUGGUGUGAUGGAAAGGGGCUCACAGCGUGUAACCAUCCGUGUCAGCCUCUUUUGUGGGAAUCAAGGCAACACUAGCCACAUUUACAGUGAUGGGCGAUGGUGAAGCACCAGUUCACAAAGCCAUUUAAAUAUUUUCCUGUUUCGUGCAGCGAUAUUUUGUUCAUAAAUGUUACCCAUCUAUAAUUUGGCUAUUAGAUGAUUAGAAUGAAGCAGGCUUGCUACUUCAAUUACAGCUACGUUUUAAGGAAAGAUCUUGAUAUGGUUUCUGAUGACCCAUGGCAUAGUUAGUGCGUCCAAUAACAUCCUGUUAAAAUUGUUGAAAUCUCAGCUGUGAUGUGUUCUACCUUUGUUUUUUUUCCUCUACGAUCUUUGAGAAUAUGAAGCUCUUGUUAGUUUGUCGGCUAGCGGCAUGAAUCACAAUUGCAUACAUCUGUGUUGCAGAACUAAAAUAUAAAUUGGAAUAGCUUUUAAUACAAAUAUUUUUUUGUUUUAUGCUUGGUGCAGGUGGUCGCAUGAUUUAGUUGAUCAGUAGGAUUUGCAUCUGCAGCAGGUAUAUAUUUUUUCGAAUUGCUUUCUUCAUAUGUUUCAGUUGGGCGUAGUUUGUAUCACUAUUAAUCGUAUGAAACUUCAUCAAUUGCAGAGGCAUAUGUUGUUUAUAGGAUUUUUAAAUUCGUCUUGUAUAUGAAGACCAUAGAAAGUGUAAAAUGAAAAUGUAAGUAAAACGCUCCCAGUAUGUUUUGAUUCACACGGCCAGUGGCUCCAAACUGCAUCUAAUUAACUGUCAUUUUCAGUUGGAUUUGGUCUCUUAACAGCACUUGGUGGUACGAGUUGAAUCAUAGAACAGGAGGCAGGUAAGUACAGGGGACAGGUAAGCAUUGUUAUUAUGAUCUGUUUGUAGCUUCCUAAAAAUGAGUGUACUGUCAUGGUCAUUUGACACAAUGAAGAAAAAAUAAAGGAGUGUAGGCUGAUAGAAGUCGUAAUUGUGAGUUGGCACCUUGCUUUCAAUAAAAUUUCAUCUCAUUGCUCCUUAUUUGUACGACAGCAAUACAUAUCAGCAAAAUAAAAGGAUGUUUAUUAGCCAGUUUUAGACGUGGUGGCAUAAUAUCAGUAAAAACUAAAGAAUGCUACUAUUCAUCAGAUUUUCCUUUUGUGAAUAUUUGCGUUGCCUUUUUUGGACCAUAACUUUUUGUUCUUUGGCAGAUGCAUAGUGUGCUACUCCCUCCGUCCGAAAAAGCUUGUCCCUCAUAUGGAUGUAUCUAGCACCAAGUUAGUGCUAGAUACAUCCAUUUGAGAAACAAGUUUGGGACAAGUUUUUCCGGACGGAGGGAGCACUACAAAAUAUUUACUUGAUCCUUGAUUGAAAUACUUCUAUGAACUGAGAUCUUGCGCUCUGCUUUUACCAAUCAGCCUGUUUGCUUCUUUUCUUACAUCUACUUUAAUUAUACAUUUCUGGAUUUGGUGCUUUGAUUUGCUGCAGUUUCCUUAAUUCAGUAGAUGCAUGAUGUGCAUCAAGACGCUGGAUUUCAUGAUCGGUUUUCCAUCUCACAUCAAUAGUUUAGGCCACUAUUUGUUUAUCCAUGCAUUUUAGGUAAACAUUGGUGUAGACUUGGUUGUUUUUUUUUGGUUGUUUGUGGUAUCCAUUUUCCCCUACACUAGGUAAUUGCCCGUGCGUUGCAACUUGCAACGGAGGCAUACAAAAUGUACCACUAAAAUUUUAGUUAGUUUUUUACAUAACAACCAUGAUUUACCUUUAUUGUUAAUAUGAACCUUGAUUUACCAUCUAUUUAUUGUUAAUGUGACUGCAUACUAACUGAUGCAAUUAGCAAGUGUUAAGUGAUAACCUCUGGAAUAUCAGUUGUGGGAAAGUGCAGCACAAAUUAAUCCUAAUUUAAUUCUUUCCCCAACCUGCUUGGUCCUACAACAGGCAAACAUUAGGUUGCUAGCAACAAAAUGAUAUGCAAGGAACAAAUUGCAACCCCACAGAAGAGAAAAAAGGGCUCUUUACCUUCUAUCCUCCCAAUCUGCAAAAUAAAUAGAAUUGAGACAUAUCGUGCCAAUUCAAUUACUAAAGCUCAUGUCCAAUUUUGGAAGCUAAUGGCCAAGUAGUUGGCAAUUUUGUUUCUGAAGAGAAAUGCAUUGGUGCAAUUUUGUCCACUUUUGAUCAUUCCCUCUUAACAAAAAUGCCAGUGAUGUUUCUCUGAAUUUAGUAUACUGACCAUUUCAGCAGCAUAAUUUCUCUAAGUGACCAUGCAGUAUUCAGUGACUUUUCUAGAUGACUAAUAUGCAGCAUGCAUGGAUGGCUGGGAGACUGGGCAGAGAGAGUUUGUCAUGAAAACUGUUUUUUGCUUUAACUUUUACUUUGUUGUGUUUCCUCUGUCCAUUCUUUCCUCAGUUAAAACUUCACUGCCAAAAACCAGAUUACCUCCUUCCAUGAUCUGCAGAAAGGCAUAAGAAUACUGAAGUGUCACCAGACUGAGAGAUGCAAAGUACCAACUGCAUAAAAUCUGUGUGUCCAAAUCGUUUAGUUAUGGCAAUUACAAAUUUAGUUGUUUAAUAUAUACAAUAAGAAAUUCAGUGUUCUACCAAUUACAUCAAAUUAGUAGUCAGUUUAUCCCAUGCAGUGCACAGGAAAAUGUCAAAACAAAGGAGAGGAUGAGGCCGUCUACCUUGCAGAGGAGCAAGCCCGUACUUGCUGCUGCCGGUCUUGGCGCCGCCUCCGUGUAGGUGGAGUUCGUGGAGGUCGAGAUCUGCGAGAUCCCCAGAGUGGCGCAUGGCAUAAGAGCAUCAAAAGAAUUCAGAGGAGGGGCUGUGAAUCGAACAUAGAAGAAUCAAAUCUUUUGCUUGUGGCGCCGGAUCAUGAGCCCUCGGCGCCAAUCGGCCGGUGCCCCAUCGGCCUCUCUGGGUCAAUGACGUAGCAGACUGAUGAGAAGGCAGAGCCAGCAGGCGAGGAGGUCAAUGUAAGGAACUGGGGGGUGGCGGUGUCGCGCAGUGCGUUUUUGGGUAGCUCGGACAUCGAAGUGGCACCAGCGAGUCGAGGAGAGGAAGGAGGUGUUGAGGUGUGGGGUGGCAGCUGGCUGCAGCGGGUGUCCGGGAGCGGUAGGCGUGGCGGUGGAGAACAGGGUAAGGGGAUUUAGGGUUGAAGAGUGGUGCGGGAUGGAAAGAUGAGAGAGGUGGGCGAUGGAUUCUGCUGGACUUUUUUUUUCCUUGCGCGGGUUCUUUUGCUAUCUAGAAAACCGAGUGGGGGAGAGGAGCGGCACGAGGCAGGAUGUGAAACGGAAGAGGCGGACGAAAAGAACAAGCAAUCCAUAACUGGUAUGCAGGGUUACUUGGCAUGUCAAAGAAGCACAAUCCAUAACUGCUCCUGCAAGCAUCUCAGAUCUUGUAGGCUUGUGAAGGUGAGCGCCCUGUUGGCAAAAUAGGGCAUGCGGUCUUCUUAUGUCAAACCCUUGUUAAUCAAUUUGCAUCGUGGAAUGUCUUGAUGAAUGUACAUAUCUGGAAGGUUACUCUGUUCUGCUGGUGCAGGCUGGAAUGCUGUUAUAUCCUGUCAAGUUUUUGUUGUGCCUAUGUGCCCAACUCACACUGGGCCUGAAAAUCACAAUGCAUCUCUUUUUUUUACUGUAAAUUACAGUAAAAUUUAACAUUUGAACCGAAAAACUCUGAAGCCGAAAUGGGCAGUGAAAUUGUCUUUAAAUGUUGCGAUGCAAGCACGCUGUUGAAAAGAAUUGCAUGGGAAUCGUAAUGUUCAUCUUCCUCUACAAAAGCGUAUUUAUCAGAAGUGAAUGUCGUGUGUGGGCGCAGACCGGGGCAAAGCAUUUGAGCGCCCUUCUCCCAUUGUAAUUUCCUUUUGCCCCGGCUGGUCGUUGCCACUCGUACCUAUCCCUAUGUAUUUGUUUUUCAUCUCUUAACAUAUGACAUGCAGUCUUACAUGCUUGAAAAAAGAAGAAAACAAUUGCAUGGGAGGCCAUCGCCGAAUGGAAGGGUUGAAGCUUAUCAGUUUGUUUUGCUUGAGAUGGACGAUUUAAAGUGAAGACGAGCUGCAGCGAAUUGUUAACUUUCAGGGAUUAUGUGCAUGCCAAGGAUAUGUUGCCUGCUUUUCGUCUGGUUUGGCAUCAGGAUGUUUUUUAUUAAUCUGUGAUAUUAAUCAUAAUAAAAGGAAAUGUUAUCUUUUACUCUUGAUGUGGUACUCGUAAUGAUGGACGAGGUGAGCCCUUUGCUGUUAUUAGACAAGAGAAAUCGGAUAGCUUUGAUCAAUGAGACAAUCAAUCUUUCAGUAUUUUCUCCAUGGAUGGAAGUCAAUCAUGUCACUUUUUUCUUUCUACUAAGUAUGCAAAUAUCAGUAUAUGACAUUUGCCAUGAAAAGGCUCACAGCCAUUCUAAAAGGAAAUG